AGUUCUUUAAUUCUGAUUUUUGUUUAAGGUAAACUGCUGCAGGUUCUAGGCAGGCAUAAAGCACAGUUGCCUGGUCUCAAGCACAUUAUUGUUUUUAAGGAUAUUGCUGGCAAACCUGUCAACACAAGAAACUGUCCUCAGGAUGUGAGAACCUUAACGUUUGAGGAGGUCAUUGCUAUAGGGGAGGCGGGACUAGGUAAUAACUUUACUCUGUG
Eurytemora carolleeae is the source of this 215-nucleotide long non-coding RNA. RefSeq lists it as uncharacterized. The transcript has 3 exons. The record is from RefSeq and is a predicted model, not a curated record. Lineage: Eukaryota; Metazoa; Arthropoda; Copepoda; Calanoida; Temoridae.